Molecule: ribosomal RNA, 468 nt
Filed under: uncultured bacterium
Lineage: Bacteria
Description: partial 16S ribosomal RNA
Rfam family: Bacterial small subunit ribosomal RNA
Source: RNAcentral
GAUGAACGCUGACAGAAUGCUUAACACAUGCAAGUCUACUUGAAUUUGGGUUUUUUACCUUCGAUUUGGGUGGCGGACGGGUGAGUAACGCGUAAAGAACUUGCCUCACAUCUAAGGACAACAUUUGGAAACGAAUGCUAAUACCUGAUAUUAUGAUUAUAAGGCAUCUUAGAAUUAUGAAAGCUAUAUGCGCUGUGAGAGAGCUAUGCGUCCCAUUAGCUAGUUGGAGAGGUAACGAGGCACCAAGGCGAUGAUGGGUCGCCGGCCUGAGAGGGUGAACGGCCACAAGGGGCUUGAGAAACGGCCCUUACGCCUACUGGAGGCAGCAGUGGGGAAUAUGCGAAAAAGGACCAAGAGUCUGAUGCAGCAAUUCUGUGUGUAAGAUGACGUUUUUAGGAAUGUAAAGUGCUUUCAGUUGGGAAGCAAAAAAUGACGGUACCAAAAGAAGAAGCGACGGCUAAAUACGUG